RNAcentral lists this ribosomal RNA (273 nucleotides) under Bacteroidales bacterium. RNAcentral describes it as "partial 23S ribosomal RNA". It matches the Rfam family "Bacterial large subunit ribosomal RNA", at positions 2638 to 2925 of the family's 2925-position model. Lineage: Bacteria; Pseudomonadati; Bacteroidota; Bacteroidia; Bacteroidales. The record is from RNAcentral.
CUAUCUGUGGUGGGCGUUGGAAUCUUGAGAAGCGCUGUCUUUAGUACGAGAGGACCGGGAUGGACAUACCUCUAGUGUACCUGUUAUGGCGCCAGCUGUACAGCAGGGUAGCUACGUAUGGAAUGGAUAAGUGCUGAAAGCAUCUAAGCACGAAGCCUGCUUCAAGAUGAGGAUUCCUUUAAGGGUCGUUGAAGACUACGACGUUGAUAGGCUGUAAGUAUAAAGCUAGUAAUAGCAAAGCUGAGCAGUACUAAUUACCCGUAGCUUUCUAUU